UUGGAGAUUAAGACUUGAUUAAAAAUAAUCAAAUAAUGAAAAGCAAGAGAAAAAAAGCUGGGUGCCCUCAGUUUCACCCUGCUUCCCUGUAAGAAGGGCCCAAAUGGGCAUUUUCGCCCUUGCAAUACAACUCUGAUAAAUUGGCUGCAAAUAGAGGGAUGAUUUCCCAGACUUCGGGAGUCCUUCUGAAGACUAACUUACCUCUUGGAGGGCAUCUUCACUCUGACAACUGGCAGUUUAGCCUGCAUGGAUGAGGUCAUAGAGCCAUCAGAAUUCCAAUGGAGUCGACAGGUGGCUUCCAAAGCUCACCUGUUCCAUCCUUUCUACACAUACCAAUGCUAGGCAAAUGCCUUUAGUGGGUGAUCAAACCAAUAACUAAAGCUGCCCAUCUCAUCAAUUCCAGGAGGAGAAAUGAAAAUGGCAAGCAAAGCCAGGAUGAGGGUGCAAGAGCCACAUUAACUGCAUGGGGCAGCAUUGAAAUGAGCAUUGUACUAAAAGAACCCUCGCAUGGGAAAAGGUGUCACGAGUCUCCUAAGCGUCCUGAUGAUUUUCAUCAACUGAAACUUUAUAGCGAGUACAAUCAAAAAAGUCCUUUAUUAUUCAGCCUGAGAAAGUCCCUUCUCGGACAGCUGAAAAGCUAGAAGUAUCUAGAAACUUUCUAUAUUACAAGAUUAUGAUAAAAAUAUAAAAGUUACAAGGAAGUACAAGAAACUCAUUAGGGAACGCAUAAAUUGAAUUGCUAACAAGAGAGCAAAGGUAACACUGGAUCAGGUUGGACGCAAAGGGGAGGGAAAAGGGUGAGUUGCCUUAUGAAUAAUCAAGAGGACAGUUUAUUGUCGGUAUGGAAGGAUGGAGUGUGCCAAAAAGUACAGAAGAGGCGAGAGUCUUUUUUUUCAAUGGAAGAAUUAACCAAGAACUCCCUAAUUUCCAAGCGUAUAGAAAGACCUGAGGGCACAAUGGAAAUUGGUAAGUUUCCUCAGAACCUUCUGGUAGCAACCCCUGAAUUGUAAGAUACAAAUGUUUCUUUUAAGACCAAAAACAGAGGAUCUAUCAUUCCUGUGGGAUUGAUAUUUGGAAAUGUUAUGGGUGCUUUAGCACUGCCGUGAUGCCAUAAACAUCAUGGUAUUUUCCAGAGGUCAAUGGAAAAGGCAGCUAGAAGUCUAAAGUGGAUCAUAACUGCUGAUGCUCUCUGCCAACUUCCUAAGAGUGAGAACGAUUAAUCCGUAGAAUGGCUUGCCUUCAGAAGCUGUGGAUGCUCCAUCUGUGAAGGCUUUUAAGAAGAGACUGAACUUGUCUGGAAUGGUAAAGGGGCCGUGAUGGUAAACCUAAUGCCAUAGGUAGCAUGCGGAGCCGUAUUUGCCGGCACGGCCCCCUUCACCUCUGGUGCCCAUUAUGAUUUUCGGCCUUCCACAGGGGCGGGGGGAGGCCGUUUUCGGCCUCCACAGGCCUCAGAAAAGCCUAGAGGGCAAAAAACAGCCCAAUAAGCCAACCAGAAGUUCAUUCUUCUGGUUGGCCAUUUCGGCCUGUUUUUCAUCCUUCCCAGGCUCUGGAGGCUUUCCUGAGGCCUAGGGAGGAUGAAAAUGGCUUCCCCCGGGCCCCUCCCCAGGAUUCAAGAAAGCAUUCAGAGCCUGUUGAGGGCAAAAAUCCCUCCCUGCGUGGAUGUUGUGCGCGCAUGUACAGGGGUCACAACUUUAAAAAACAGCUAGCUAUCACUGGUAUAGGGCCAAAAGAUUAGAACACAAAACCUCCAAGAUCCCUUCCAAUUACUGUUGUUUUCAUUGUGUUGCUGUGCAUGUACACCCAGAGCUUCUGCACUGUAGACAUGUUCCUUGCGUGUCUAAUUACACUUAAUGGAAUAAAAUAUUUAAUUUCAUUUGUAGUUUUAUUAUCAUGAUCAUGAUUAUCACAUAGCUUUUAUGUACAAUUAUGCACCGAAGACAGAUUCCUUGUGUGUCCAAUCACACUUGGCCAAUAAAAAACUCUACUCUCCUCUACUCUCAAUUACUCAGACAUGUAUCAUGACGGAAGGUCUUUCCACAUUCAAGCAAGUUUACAGGUUUUUUAAAAUGUGAAUCCUUUGA
Thamnophis elegans (Western terrestrial garter snake) is the source of this 2081-nucleotide long non-coding RNA. RefSeq lists it as uncharacterized. The record is from RefSeq and is a predicted model, not a curated record. The transcript has 2 exons. Lineage: Eukaryota; Metazoa; Chordata; Lepidosauria; Squamata; Natricidae.